RNAcentral lists this ribosomal RNA (435 nucleotides) under uncultured bacterium. Its description in RNAcentral is "partial 16S ribosomal RNA". It matches the Rfam family "Bacterial small subunit ribosomal RNA", at positions 29 to 507 of the family's 1533-position model. The record is from RNAcentral.
AGCGAACGCUGGCGGCAGGCUUAACACAUGCAAGUCGAGCGGGCACUUUCGGGUGUCAGCGGCGGAUGGGUGAGUAACGCGUGGGAACGUGCCCUCUGGUUCGGAAUAACUCAGGGAAACUUGAGCUAAUACCGGAUACGCCCUUUUGGGGAAAGGCUUGCUGCCGGAGGAUCGGCCCGCGUCUGAUUAGCUAGUUGGUGAGGUAACGGCUCACCAAGGCGACGAUCAGUAGCUGGUCUGAGAGGAUGAUCAGCCACACUGGGACUGAGACACGGCCCAGACUCCUACGGGAGGCAGCAGUGGGGAAUAUUGGACAAUGGGCGCAAGCCUGAUCCAGCCAGGCCGCGUGAGUGAUGAAGGCCUUAGGGUUGUAAAGCUCUUUUAUCCGGGACGAUAAUGACGGUACCGGAGGAAUAAGCCCCGGCUAACUUCGUG